UCCAGACUCCUACGGGAGGCAGCAGUGAGGAAUAUUGGUCAAUGGCCGAGAGGCUGAACCAGCCAAGUCGCGUGAGGGAUGACGGCCCUACGGGUUGUAAACCUCUUUUGCCGGGGAGCAAAGAGCGGGACGCGUCCCGCCUCGAGAGUACCCGGAGAAAAAGCAUCGGCUAACUCCGUGCCAGCAGCCGCGGUAAUACGGAGGAUGCGAGCGUUAUCCGGAUUUAUUGGGUUUAAAGGGUGCGCAGGCGGAGUUUUAAGUCAGCGGUCAAAUCGUGGGGCUCAACCCCAUCCAGCCGUUGAAACUGGGGAUCUAGAGUGUGCGAGAGGUAUGCGGAAUGCGUGGUGUAGCGGUGAAAUGCAUAGAUAUCACGCAGAACUCCGAUUGCGAAGGCAGCAUGCCGGCUCCACACUGACGCUGAGGCACGAAAGCGUGGGUAUCGAACAGGAUUAGAUACCCCGGUACUG
RNAcentral lists this ribosomal RNA (467 nucleotides) under uncultured bacterium. Its description in RNAcentral is "bacterial SSU rRNA". It matches the Rfam family "Bacterial small subunit ribosomal RNA", at positions 330 to 793 of the family's 1533-position model. The record is from RNAcentral.